AUUGUAAUGUAGCUGCCAUGAUAGUGGUAACGGUUACAAGCCCGUAUAGAUACAGAGUACAGU
Molecule: non-coding RNA, 63 nt
Submitted as: unclassified sequences
Source: Rfam